Molecule: long non-coding RNA, 417 nt
Organism: Salvelinus sp. IW2-2015
Lineage: Eukaryota; Metazoa; Chordata; Actinopteri; Salmoniformes; Salmonidae
Source: RefSeq, a predicted model, not a curated record
GAACAUGGACGAGGCGCAGGAGAAACAGAAGGAGAGCUACCGGAGCAGAAUCAAGAAACGGGACCAAGUGCUAUGACGUCUGGGCAAACGACUUGGUUUGGAAGAAGGACGAAAGGAAGGCGAGACCUGGGGAAAAACUCGCUGCUCUUUCGCUCCUAGCUGGGGUCACCAUCUGUUAAAGUGAAUAUUUAAAAUCUAAACUAUUUGCAUACAAAAUAACCUGAAGCUACUUUUAGUUUUUUUCGGACUUCCUAGGGUUACCUCGGUGGAAGCCAACAAUCAGUCGGCCGCUGAAAGCCCUGACGCCCUACACUUCAGGGAAGCUCGAUAGACAAAGACCAUCGACUGGCCGAGCCCCCCGGGAGGUAUCCCAUCCACCAGAACCAAGAGCAGCAGUGCCUGGACUUUGCAGUCCCC